CAUACCAAUAUCGACCCCCAACUACUGGGCACACAAAGACAUCAACAAUUAUUGUUUGGAAAAUUAAGAAAAAAUUGCAUAAAGGUUUUCAUGUGAAUACAGACAAUGUACUGAUUGCACAGACAGGAAGUGUAAACAUUUAUUAGUUUGAUUUGUAUUUAAAAUGGCAACUGCAGUAGCAUCUUCACAGAUUUUUGAUAAUAUUCCUAGUACAAGACAAUUUGUUAUACAGUUAGACGACAAUACAAGCUAUCCCGAACAUGUUUUACUUAAAAUAAACAAAAGGAGUGGAUGUAACCCGGGACCUUCUGAUGUUGGAAUCAAAACAUGUUUUUCUUCACAUUCGGCUCCGUCUCGUGGUACUUCAAACGUAAGACGAGAAGACAGUUAUAACUUUUACAAAUCUAUUACAAAUAUGGAUAAAUGGCCGGGUGAUGAUACAUAUGACAUUGCUAAAAUACAGGAAUGGAAAGAUUGGAGGCGGAAAGCUAAUUUGCAUAUGGCGAACACGAUCAUUGACGAAGAAUGUCCCGGACUCUCUCGGAUUAGCGAUUUAUCAACCCAUCCAAUUGAAAAUGACAUUGUUUUCAAUGUGUAUAAGACAACAAGGUCAUCCGAAGGUUCAACGUCAGUGCUUGGUGUUACGUCAUUCAGUAUGUUCGGGAUUCCUCGGAUUCAAACACAUGCCGAAUUCGAUGACAAAAGUAGCCUCCAUGUGGAUGAUUUAAUGCCGCCAGAUUACGAAGACUGUUUCUAUGGUAACGAUGACCUUCCUCCGGACUACGACGAUGUGUUUGAGACAUAGGACGUCAAUUCUACUGUGUGGAGUACAAUCAAACGUUCAAGUAUAUAGUGCAGGCAGUUCAAACAUGUUAAAUGUUUACUGUUUAUUCUCGGUAGGCCAAACGCUUUGAACUUUAAAUGAAAGCUGUGUUGAUAUUAAUGUACACUGUCUAUCAAUAGUGCCGAAAACAGAUUGAAAACAGAAUAAAUUAUAAUCUGAAUUUGUCAAAAUAUGGUAUCGUAAAAUAUGAACUUUAUGUUUUUAAGUGUAUUUUUGUUAUACACAUCGUUUGCUUUUAUGAAUUUAAUCAAACAUGAUACACGUAGUAAUGCAAGUAGUCGGGACUGUUUUAAUGUUUCCUAUCCAGACUCUGUGAACUUAUUAUAUGGAAGCUGCUUUAAACAACCGGACAGUUACUGCAAAAUGCGACAUGAGCAGAAGUUAAUUUUAUUCAAAACAAGUUUGAAGUUUAUGUAAAUAGAUCAUAAAUGUAGUUUGAGUUAUGAAAUGUAAUGUGUUUUACAUGAUUUUAUACAUCGUUUGGUUUUAUGACUUUUAUACCUCAAUAAAUAAUUUUAACAAGA
Molecule: long non-coding RNA, 1368 nt
Organism: Mytilus californianus (California mussel)
Lineage: Eukaryota; Metazoa; Mollusca; Bivalvia; Mytilida; Mytilidae
Exons: 2
Source: RefSeq, a predicted model, not a curated record